UACGUAGGGUGCGAGCGUUAAUCGGAAUUACUGGGCGUAAAGCGUGCGCAGUCGGUUCGUUGUGUCGGCGGUGAAAGCCCCGGGCUUAACCUGGGAAUGGCCGUUGAAACUGGCGAACUGGAGUGUGGCAGAGGGGGGUGGAAUUCCGCGUGUAGCAGUGAAAUGCGUAGAGAUCCGGAAGAACACCGGUGGCGAAGGCGGCCUGCUGGGCAGUUGCUGACACUGAGGCGCGAAAGCGUGGGGAGCAAACAGG
RNAcentral lists this ribosomal RNA (253 nucleotides) under uncultured bacterium. Its description in RNAcentral is "partial 16S ribosomal RNA". It matches the Rfam family "Bacterial small subunit ribosomal RNA", at positions 524 to 776 of the family's 1533-position model. The record is from RNAcentral.